Molecule: small nuclear RNA, 101 nt
Filed under: Mustela putorius furo (domestic ferret)
Lineage: Eukaryota; Metazoa; Chordata; Mammalia; Carnivora; Mustelidae
Source: RNAcentral
AAGAAUUAUGUUCUUGCUUUGACAGCACAUAUACAGAGAAGAUGAGCAUGGCCUCUGAGCAAGGAUGAUAUGCAAAUUUGUGGGAAAAAAAAAAAAGAUUA